CUUAAUAAAUGACUUAGACAGUAUUUAUGGUUCAGUAGUUUAUUUUAUUUGAAUUCAUAUGGUUUUAUGAAUGUAAUAAAGUUUAUGGAGUUUUAUAAGUUAAAAAUAAUUUUCUACCCCUCGUGGUAGCGUGUUUUAAAAGAAAAUGGUUUCCGUGCGGGAAACGGUUUUAAAAAGGGAAUUUCUGAUUUUUCUGGUUCUUAGUAUUUCAAAACGAGUUUUCGAGUAGGAAAUAUUUUUAAACUAAUAGAUAUGAACUUAUGAAUAUUAGUGAUGAACUGAAUGUGGAUGUGAUUGGUGUAUGAAUAUGUGGAUGUUCAUUUGUUAUGGUUGUAUCUUGUACUUGUGCGACGCUGUGCA
RNAcentral lists this long non-coding RNA (360 nucleotides) under Ananas comosus (pineapple). RNAcentral describes it as "long non-coding RNA (ACOM_LNC010189)". Lineage: Eukaryota; Viridiplantae; Streptophyta; Magnoliopsida; Poales; Bromeliaceae. The record is from RNAcentral.